This 478-nucleotide ribosomal RNA is filed under the name uncultured bacterium. RNAcentral's name for it is "partial 16S ribosomal RNA". It matches the Rfam family "Bacterial small subunit ribosomal RNA", at positions 28 to 523 of the family's 1533-position model. The record is from RNAcentral.
GACGAACGCUGGCGGCGUGCUUAACACAUGCAAGUCGAGCGACGAAGUCUCUUCGGAGAUGGAUUAGCGGCGGACGGGUGAGUAACACGUGGGUAACCUGCCUCAUAGAGGGGAAUCGCCUAUCGAAAGGAAGAUUAAUACACCAUAAGAUUGUAGUUUCGCAUGAAACAGCAAUUAAAGGAGUAAUCCGCCAUGGAAUGGACCCGCGUCGCAAUAGCUAGUUGGUGAGGUAACGGCUCACCACGGCGACGAUGCGUAGCCGACCUGAGCGGGGGGUCGACCACAUUGGGACUGAGACACGGCCCAGACGCCUACGGGAGGCAGCAGUGGGGAAUAUUGCACAAUGGGGGAAACCCUGAUGCAGCAACGCCGCGUGAGUGAUGACGGUCUUCGGAUUGUAAAGCUCUGUCUUCAGGGACGAUAAUGACGGUACCUGAGGAGGAAGCCACGGCUAACUACGUGCCAGCCGCCGCCGUAA